Cyphomyrmex costatus is the source of this 393-nucleotide long non-coding RNA. RefSeq lists it as uncharacterized. The record is from RefSeq and is a predicted model, not a curated record. The transcript is spliced from 3 exons. Lineage: Eukaryota; Metazoa; Arthropoda; Insecta; Hymenoptera; Formicidae.
GUUCACGAAUUUAACGGCGAUUGACGGAAGUGUUUGACUCGCGAAAAUUUUCCAAAUAGUUGCGGUGACGACUCACAACAAUAUCUCCAGCAAUGUUAUCAUCCGAGGGUGGACCUCGAAUCGAAUUAAUUUUUUCGGACACGAAGCGGCUAGAUCGUGAUCGCAUGGACAAAAUUAGAUGUUCUCUAUUAGAGUGGCUGACCCGUUACAUUCUCUGAUCAGAAAUACAAGAUAAUACUACUGCUUUUCAAUUCAUACCAUAAAGCUUCUUGUGUCAUCGUUACAUUUCCGUAAAGAAUCACACGCAACAAGAAGCCACGGUGGUCGGCGGCCGUCAUUGAUCUCCUGUUAGAAUCGGAUCACUUCGAUGUAACAAGAUAAAUAGUCAGCGGG